UUGUGGUUUAAUUCGAUGAUACGCGAGGACUUACCUGGCUUAAAUGUAGAGUGCAUUUCUGGAGAUAGGAAUUCCCUUCGGGGCUUUCUGCAGGGUGCUGCAUGGUUGUCGUCAGCUCGUGCCGUGAGGUGUCGGGUUAAGUCCCAUAACGAGCGCAACCCUUAUCGUUAGUUGCCAGCUGGUAAAGCAGGGGACUCUAGCGAAACUGCCACCGUAAGGUGAGAGGAAGGUGGGAUGACGUCAAAUCAGCACGGCCCUUAUGUCCAGGGCUACACACGUGUUACAAUGGCCGGCACAGAGGGCAGCUACCUGGUGACAGGAUGCUAAUCUCGAAAACCGGUCUCAGUUCGGAUCGAAGUCUGCAACUCGACUUCGUGAAGCUGGAUUCGCUAGUAAUCGCGCAUCAGCCAUGGCGCGGUGAAUACGUUCCCGGGCCUU
RNAcentral lists this ribosomal RNA (438 nucleotides) under uncultured Sphingobacteriales bacterium. Its description in RNAcentral is "bacterial SSU rRNA". It matches the Rfam family "Bacterial small subunit ribosomal RNA", at positions 939 to 1382 of the family's 1533-position model. The record is from RNAcentral. Lineage: Bacteria; Pseudomonadati; Bacteroidota; Sphingobacteriia; Sphingobacteriales.